AGCGGAAAGGCCCUUCGGGGUACUCGAGCGGCGAACGGGUGAGUAACACGUGAGCAACCUGCCCCAAGCUUUGGGAUAACCCUCGGAAACGGGGGCUAAUACCGAAUAGGACUUCUGGCCGCAUGGCUGGUGGUGGAAAGUUUUUCGGCUUGGGAUGGGCUCGCGGCCUAUCAGCUUGUUGGUGGGGUGAUGGCCUACCAAGGCGACGACGGGUAGCCGGCCUGAGAGGGCGACCGGCCACACUGGGACUGAGACACGGCCCAGACUCCUACGGGAGGCAGCAGUGGGGAAUAUUGCACAAUGGGCGGAAGCCUGAUGCAGCGACGCCGCGUGAGGGAUGACGGCCUUCGGGUUGUAAACCUCUUUCAGCAGGGACGAAGCGAGAGUGACGGUACCUGCAGAAGAAGCACCGGCCAACUACGUGCCAGCAGCCGCGGUAAGACGUAGGGUGCGAGCGUUGUCCGGAUUUAUUGGGCGUAAAGAGCUCGUAGGCGGCUUGUCGCGUCGACCGUGAAAACUUGGGGCUCAACCCCAAGCCUGCGGUCGAUACGGGCAGGCUAGAGUUCGGUAGGGGAGACUGGAAUUCCUGGUGUAGCGGUGAAAUGCGCAGAUAUCAGGAGGAACACCGGUGGCGAAGGCGGGUCUCUGGGCCGAUACUGACGCUGAGGAG
Molecule: ribosomal RNA, 670 nt
Filed under: Micromonospora sp. 206
Lineage: Bacteria; Bacillati; Actinomycetota; Actinomycetes; Micromonosporales; Micromonosporaceae
Description: bacterial SSU rRNA
Rfam family: Bacterial small subunit ribosomal RNA
Source: RNAcentral